GACGAACGCUGGCGGCGUGCCUAAUACAUGCAAGUCGAGCGGACCGAAGGGAGCUUGCUCCUUUAGGUUAGCGGCGGACGGGUGAGUAACACGUAGGUAACCUACCUCAUAGCGGGGGAUAACUAUUGGAAACGAUAGCUAAUACCGCAUGACAAUAGGGUACACAUGUACCCUAUUUAAAAGGGGCAAAUGCUUCACUAUGAGAUGGACCUGCGUUGUAUUAGCUAGUUGGUAAGGUAACGGCUUACCAAGGCGACGAUACAUAGCCGACCUGAGAGGGUGAUCGGCCACACUGGGACUGAGACACGGCCCAG
RNAcentral lists this ribosomal RNA (314 nucleotides) under uncultured bacterium. RNAcentral describes it as "bacterial SSU rRNA". It matches the Rfam family "Bacterial small subunit ribosomal RNA", at positions 28 to 334 of the family's 1533-position model. The record is from RNAcentral.